Molecule: long non-coding RNA, 487 nt
Filed under: Homo sapiens (human)
Lineage: Eukaryota; Metazoa; Chordata; Mammalia; Primates; Hominidae
Description: HSALNT0146452
Source: RNAcentral
UCAAACGAGGUGUGGGAAUUAUAACAGUAAAAAGUUAAGAGAUCGGGAAUUUGUAAACAUCUGCAAGGAUUCUGGCUCAUAUUGCUUCUCAAGUAUCCUAAUUCUCAUACUGUUAUUAAAAACAAACCCACAAAAAAACGAAAGAGAAAUUGGCCAGGGCUGGGAUUACAGGCAUGAGCCACUGCGCCUGGCUUCUUCUCUUCCUAAAAGGACACCAGUCAUAGUGGAUCAGGGCCGACCCUAAUCAAAUAUGACCUCAUGUUAACUUGAUUACAUUUGCAAAAACUUUAUUUCCAAAUAAGGCCACAUUCACAGGUGUUGGGGGUUAGGUUUCAGCGUGUCUUUUGGGGGGACACAAGUCAAUCCCUAACAAUGCCCAGCCAAAGCAGUGUGCAGAGCAGAAGCUUGCUUGGCUCCUGUGAGGCCACACCCAGUGUGCUGAGUGUUGGGAUUGAAAGGCCAGACUCCAUCACCUCAGGUAGGGCCC